GCCGGCCAAGGCAACAACAAAAUACUCAGAGCCAGAGGGUAUCAAACUCUGACAUCUCGACUCUUUGUUUCAUAAUCGUUUCUGGUACUGGUAUGUGCAGUUGGCUUCUUUGCAACAGAAGCUGCUUGCGGUUGUCAGAGGGCCGUCAAAUGUGAUGUGAUGCAAAGCUGUGGACCAGGGUGGAGCAAGGCAUCGUACUGUAGCGUCUGGUGGGCAGUGUACCUGAAGCCACGACCCUCAGCUCCCCAGGCGGGCACACUAACCACUGCUCCAAGUAAGGAUAUCCCAUUAGUAGGGAGUCUAUAAAGCAUAAUCCAGGUCAGACGCAUGACCACAUGGACAGAGACAACCUGGGGGGGAGGAAUGGUCAGUGGAGUGGCAGCUGGAAUCGUCAGGUAUCGUCUUGAUCUGCAACACAACCAGGAGGACUUUGAACAUGGACAGCUAUGAGUCUUUCGAGCCUGGUGCUCCUGAGGUGUGGUCCAAAACCUCAUGUCCUCAUAAGUUUAAAUGGAGCAAGAGACAAGGAAAGUUUAGAGAGCGCAUUCCUUACAUUAACAAGGCUUUACAAUGGAGAAGGAGAACUGGCCUCCAGUUAUAUUGUGGUGUAAAACCUUGGGGCUGAGACAGGGGGGUCCGGUGACACUGUGGAUCUAAUAACUUCAGGAAGUCAAUCCACCCACAUUGCCAAACAUCAAAGGGAAACCAACUAACCGCAACCAACCUGAAUGAGGGCUGAGUAUCGCCCACAGAGUUCACUCCCAUUACCCGAGGACAGCAACAGAGAGGCAACAGUAAGGCAAUGACUCCACCCCCGAAUGGCAUUCCAGUUUAUGGAAUCCCACAUUUUUAAGUGGAUAUAUCUGACCAACAUGUUUAAGGUCAUUCCAGAAUCGGAGGACAAUUUAAGCAUCAACACUUUUCAAUAAUGAAACCUUUAUUUUAACAUUUUCUGUUAUGUAUUUAAGAAAAACAGGUAAUAAAUCAAACAAUUUGAUUUGUCCAGUUCAGGCAUCAAAGGUACACUUUUUUUGAGCUUUUUUAUUUGUUGUGUGCUAUGCUAGAUGCAACCCUGUUACGAAUACUCAGGAAUUUGUUAUUAAAUACUUUAUCAUUAAGUAAAGAAUGUCACAUACCCAUUGAAUACUCAUUUAAUUUCAGAUAAGACUUAACAUAUUAAUUUAAGCAACUUUUGAAAUCUAUUCUGCACAACUUUUCAAUAGUCAGUUUUUCAGUGAUUAUUUUCAAAUAUCUGCUCAAAUAUGUUAUGCAUAUAAACUAUUAAAAGAACAAUAGGUUAAACCCUUGU
Molecule: long non-coding RNA, 1309 nt
Organism: Esox lucius (northern pike)
Lineage: Eukaryota; Metazoa; Chordata; Actinopteri; Esociformes; Esocidae
Source: Ensembl